RNAcentral lists this ribosomal RNA (253 nucleotides) under uncultured bacterium. RNAcentral describes it as "partial 16S ribosomal RNA". It matches the Rfam family "Bacterial small subunit ribosomal RNA", at positions 524 to 776 of the family's 1533-position model. The record is from RNAcentral.
UACGGGGGGGGCAAGCGUUGUUCGGAAUUACUGGGCGUAAAGGGCGCGUAGGUGGCCAACUAAGUCAGACGUGAAAUCCCUCGGCUUAACCGGGGAACUGCGUCUGAUACUGGAUGGCUUGAGUUUGGGAGAGGGACGCGGAAUUCCAGGUGUAGCGGUGAAAUGCGUAGAUAUCUGGAGGAACACCGGUGGCGAAGGCGGGUCUCUGGGCAAUUCCUGACGCUGAGGCGCGAAAGCGUGGGGAGCGAACAGG